Long non-coding RNA from Adelges cooleyi (spruce gall adelgid), 3365 nucleotides. RefSeq lists it as uncharacterized. The record is from RefSeq and is a predicted model, not a curated record. The transcript is spliced from 2 exons. Lineage: Eukaryota; Metazoa; Arthropoda; Insecta; Hemiptera; Adelgidae.
GAGGAAAACUUCACUUGACUUAAGUCUCUUAACGCAAUACCGAAGAAAAAUAUACUCAAGUAAAAUUCCGUUUUGUCUAUCGGUUUUCGGUAGCAAAUACAAUGGAAAAACAAAACCUUAUGCCUAAAAAUUACCGACAUCAAUUAAGUAAUAGGGAACAUAGUAUUAUUAUUUAUCGUAACGGUCAAAUUCCAAAAAGCAUAAUAUAAACAGUUUGUAUUCCGGUCCGUGACACACACUAUAAUACGAAUAAUCAAAUAUAAUCAAAUAUAAUAUUAUACACCACAACGUCUGUUAAGUUCAUAAUUGAUUCACGUGCCCGACGUGUAUUAAUAACAGUACCUAAUAAUAAUAUUAUGACCGUCGGAACGCGCCGUUAGGGUGUUUUUUUUUUUUUUUACCGACCGGACUUCUCCGACAGUAAUAAUAACGAGUUAAACGUUUAGACUCGAGAAAAACCGGUAAAGAUCUUCAAGAUGUGAUUGUAUAUCCUACACCACGACGGAUAGUAAUAAUAAUUGUAAACGGGGCGGAUUUUGAACGUUUGCCCGGAGGAGGCAUGCCAUUGUAUAUUGUAAUAUUCCAUUUGUAAUUAUUAUCACACGAGCGUCGGUGAAAGAAAUAUUAAACGUUAUGCCCCCAACACAUUCAAACGAAGAAGAUAUUAUUUUAAUGUAUUCGAGGGUGGAAUUCUGUGUCGAAAUUCGAAUCUCAUCCCGCCUAGUGUAUAUAUAUAUGUAUAACAAGUCCUAUAAGAGUAGGUGGUGUACUCGUUUUUCUUGAUAAUAUUAUACUCGAAUGGCAGCUCUUUCGUGGUGUGUUGUAAUUGGUAAUUAUUAAUAACAAACGGGCUCUUCGAUAACGUCCAAAAUGUAUUAACGUAGGCUCGGCAUGGGAAACAAACGAAUACGAAUCGUUAUUAUUAUCAGCAUUAUGUCAUAAGCAACAGAAUAUGUUUUGUUUGUCUUAAACACUAUAUUAUUAUUGUGCUCGUUUGUUUUGCUUACCGACGGUUGUUUGUACAUGCGAUACCGACGUGGGAACGGCUCAAUAUACGGGAGAGAUAUAGGAAUUUUGCAAAUUUCCUAAGAACAUAGUCUUGAUUUUGAGACCAAAAGUUAAACAAAUAUCGUUAUCUUACUGUGUACAAAACACAAUAAUUGCGAUAUCCUAAUAAGGUAUCGUUUCGCCCAAACGUUUUGUCAUAAGUGAAUGAAAAACAAAAAAACAAAAUUAUUAUAUUUUCUACCGAGAACGGCUCGCUUGAUUUAAUUCGGUUAAAAUUUAAAGAAAAAAAAAUCUAUUCAUUUUUAUCUUUCUAUUAAAAUGCGGUUCACAUUAUUUACCGGUCGUUUGUAGUACAUUUUGUUCAAAAAUCAACAGCCUAUCGUUUCUGUAUCAUCGUUAUCAACCGUAUCACUAUGAAUAGAUUAUAUUCAUUGUAAGUAGGUAAUAUAACUGAUACUGUUUAAUUGGUCUGUACAAAGUGCUUCUUAUGUCCAAAAUCCAGUUUCUUUUUUUUUUAUUCGAUAAUACGAUGGCUCAAAAUCCAGCAGUUGCUAUAACAAAUUACAGUACACCGAGUUUGGGUUUUUUAACCGAGACUGGUGAGUUGAACAUUCUUCUGGGUUGUAGUUCUUCGACUGACAAUAUUACAAUAAUUAACGACGACCACUGCGAUAGCCGGAUGUGUUGUGCACCCAAAGACCUUGGCCAUACUUAGUUUCGGAAUAGACUGGCAACCCAUUGUCGGUAUUCGCCACCGGUAUAUAAUAUGUAAUAAUAGGAUAGCAGGAGGGGCUGCAGCCGGCUGGAAAAUAUAACUUCACCCUAAUACUUAUCUUGGGGAAAGAAAAAAAAAACACAAAAAUCAUUAACACACGGUAUACUUACAACGACCGAUCCUUAAGUACACGUUAAGAUAGUAGAGAUACGUUCUAGAGAUAAAACCAUUGCACCGUAAUAAAAGUCCUGAUACACUUAAAAUAUUUUAUUAAUAUGGUGUACGUUUUAUUUGUCGGUCGCCCUUUUCCUUUCUGUUCGUUAAAUCGAUUCUGGCGCAGGUACUCCAAAACGAAUGGAAGACGAGCAAAUCGAUUUUAAAUCCAACCCAAACAUUCUUCGUUAUUAUCAAGCAUCGAUUAUUAUUAUUGUACAUUAAUUAUAUUACACGGAAAUAAAUGCAAUUAAAAUAUCAACGAGUAACACACGUUACGUUUAAUAUAAACAGGUAAUAAAUUAAUAUUUUAAUGGCUAUUUUAACACACCGUCGACGUGACAAUAUUCAUAAUAUAAUAAUAAUAAUAUGUUAAUCCGUCAAUUAGUGGUAAAUUAGGUUUGACGGUUUUGUGAAAUGGUGUUUAUUGAAUUUGAUUUUAAUUCCAAAUACAAUUUGUCGGACAAUAAACAGCCGUCUAGACGACUUCUUGAUUGUGAAGGCCUCCAACAACAACAACAACAACAACGACUAGGAGAGAGAUGCCGUUCUCUAAACUCAAAACAAUUAAGAUCCUAUUGUAAAUAUAUUCUAUUUGACAAUAGAAUAACGUACAAAUCGUUCGAUCAGCACGACAGUAGGCAUUUCUAUUAUGAAGUAAAUAAAUGAUAAUUUUUAAUCUAUAUUUCGGAAUGCCGUUUUUUUUUUUUUUAAUAAUAUCAACGUGAAAUUAUUGUAUUUAGUGUGAAUCACGAUCGCUAGACAAAAAAAAAAUAUAAUAAUAAUAAAAAAAAAAUACUCUUUGUCGGUCGGUCAGUGUACAUAGCCGUGUAAUAAUUGCCGUAGCAACUCCUUACACGGCUCGACAGUAUUCGGUGAUAUACCCCGAACACGAGGCUAAAGAAAAUCUUAAAUCAGUGUGAGCUCAAAAAUAUGCGCUUGUGCACGCCUCGUAUUAGUUUUUCUUGAUCUUCAUCAUCCGAGAUUGUGUCUGUGAUCCCAAUCGAACAGCAUUCUACCACGAACCGUAUAGACCGUCUAACAACGCCGCUUGUUUGAGAGUAAUUCAUUGAGCAACAAUAAAAAAAAAAAAUAUAUAUAUAUAUAUAUACAUCGAAUCGCACCAACCUAUAUAAUAUAUACCGGGUGAUUCUUUUGACGCCGACCUACACCAGUUUUCUAUUUGUAUCAUCCUGUAUGCACACUGUGUAACCGUCGUGUCCGACUUAAAUUAUAACAUUAUGUUAGUGUCUAAGGCCUAAGUGUACACCGAAGCAGAACGUUCGGUAAAUGUACCGCAAGACGUUGACGUUCUUUAGUGUGUUUCUUCGUUUCCUGCAAGUAGACUCCAAUGACAAUACAGUGCAACACAAUAAUAACAGUACAUUACAGCGUUGCGAUUCAAAAAAAAAAAAAUAAUCUACAACAC